Molecule: long non-coding RNA, 1197 nt
Filed under: Chrysemys picta bellii (western painted turtle)
Lineage: Eukaryota; Metazoa; Chordata; Testudines; Emydidae
Description: lncRNA (ENSCPBG00000006183.1)
Source: RNAcentral
CCUGGGCCUGGGCGCCCUGCUAACCAGCCCUGUCCUCCCUGCCUGUGCAGAGACGCCUGCAAGGCCUGGAGCAGGAGAGUGGGGCUCAGCGGGCCCACCUGGAAGCCGAGCUGAGGAGCCGGGACUCGCGCAUCGUGGAGCUGGACGGGUUCCUGCAGGAGAAGGAGUGGCUGCGGAGGGACGCGGCCACCCAGGGGGUGAGAGGAGCCCCAGCUGGGGCGCUGCAGUCGGGAAUCCAGCGGUGCAGACUCCAGAGGCCUCGGCUACAUGUGAGCUCCUGGCCCGGCGCCUGGCUGCCCUGGAGGCAGAGUUAGCUGCAGCCCACCUGCAAAGCCAUGAGGACACCGAGCACUGGGAGAGACGCUGCAGGACCAUGGCAGCCGAGUGGGAGGAGGAGAGGCAGAGAUUAUUGCAGCAGCCACGGCAGCCACAGGAGACGGCGCGUCCAGCAGAGACGGCGCAGCACCUGGAGACAUCCCAUCGGGGGCAGCCAAUGAAGCGGGUGGCUGUGGUGCAGCCAGCGCAGCAAUGGGAGACAGCUCAGCAGGUGGAGACAGUGCUGCAGAACCUGCCAAUGCAGCAGGGGCUGGUGGUGCAACUGGUGCAGCCGUUGGAGAUGGUGCAGCAGGUGCAGCUGGUUGAGCGAGUGGAGCCAGCCCCACAGAUGUCUGCAGCUGGAUCGCAGUUGACUUUGGAGGCCAGAGGCUUCCCAGAGCCGACUCUGCCUCCCACUCCUGCUGGAGGAGCCGCUCCUUCCCCAGGGCCCACCAGGCAGAGGGGCGCCCCCAGAGCAGGUGCUUCCCCGGAUGCCCUGUCCCAGUCCCAGUGCGGGGCGAUCGCAGCGCCUGCAGCAGGACGCCGUGGAGUCGACAGCCACGUGGUGGCCUUCAUAGAGACCUUGCGGGCAGGACUUAUGGCUAAAGGUAAAGCCAGUGGGAAUGGGGGAAGGGCAGCAGCAGCCCCCGGCGUGUCCGUAGCAAGCCGGGGUUCACAGGCAAGCAGCGCGCUCCUUAUCCCACGGCAGAGGCCCUAGAGUUAGUGGAAGCAGCCUGUUCCUGGGGCCCUGCCACCCCACCAGGCUAGUCCUGCCUGGGACUAGCUGGUCCUUAUCUGGCCCCAUCCCCAUUCGAUGUAUUUACUCUCCCAGCCUGGGGCAGGGCCAGGGCCAGGGCCAGGGCCAGCUCCAGCUUUUUUGCC